AAUAGCUAAAUUUUUCUUCCUUAAGCUUCUUCUUCUCGAGCUUCUCAAUUAGUGGGCCCACGCCCAUGAAAUCCUCAUUUUCCUCAGCAUCAAUAUCCGCUGUAUCUAAUCCUUUCUUCUUUCUCUCUUCCCUUUCCCUUUGCUUGUCUCUUUCGACGUCGAGGAAUAGCUCUCUGAUUACUCUAUCCGCCUGCGGUGUUCGGUAUGAUGCGGAGGAGAAUAAAC
Molecule: long non-coding RNA, 225 nt
Filed under: Nicotiana benthamiana
Lineage: Eukaryota; Viridiplantae; Streptophyta; Magnoliopsida; Solanales; Solanaceae
Description: long non-coding RNA (NBEN_LNC000757)
Source: RNAcentral